RNAcentral lists this ribosomal RNA (301 nucleotides) under uncultured bacterium. Its description in RNAcentral is "partial 16S ribosomal RNA". It matches the Rfam family "Bacterial small subunit ribosomal RNA", at positions 509 to 807 of the family's 1533-position model. The record is from RNAcentral.
CAGCCGCCGCGGUAAAACGGAGGGGGCUAGCGUUGUUCGGAAUUACUGGGCGUAAAGCGCACGUAGGCGGCUUGGUAAGUUAGAGGUGAAAGCCCGGAGCUCAACUCCGGAAUUGCCUUUAAGACUGCCGAGCUAGUAGGUGAGAGAGGUAAGUGGAAUUCCGAGUGUAGAGGUGAAAUUCGUAGAUAUUCGGAAGAACACCAGUGGCGAAGGCGGCUUACAGGCUCAUUCUAGACGCUGAGGUGCGAAAGCGUGGGGAGCUAACAGGAUUAGAUACCCCAGUAGUCCCUGUCUCUUAUAC